GUCGAGCGAAUGGAUUAAGAGCUUGCUCUUAUGAAGUUAGCGGCGGACGGGUGAGUAACACGUGGGUAACCUGCCCAUAAGACUGGGAUAACUCCGGGAAACCGGGGCUAAUACCGGAUAACAUUUUGAACCGCAUGGUUCGAAAUUGAAAGGCGGCUUCGGCUGUCACUUAUGGAUGGACCCGCGUCGCAUUAGCUAGUUGGUGAGGUAACGGCUCACCAAGGCAACGAUGCGUAGCCGACCUGAGAGGGUGAUCGGCCACACUGGGACUGAGACACGGCCCAGACUCCUACGGGAGGCAGCAGUAGGGAAUCUUCCGCAAUGGACGAAAGUCUGACGGAGCAACGCCGCGUGAGUGAUGAAGGCUUUCGGGUCGUAAAACUCUGUUGUUAGGGAAGAACAAGUGCUAGUUGAAUAAGCUGGCACCUUGACGGUACCUAACCAGAAAGCCACGGCUAACUACGUGCCAGCAGCCGCGGUAAUACGUAGGUGGCAAGCGUUAUCCGGAAUUAUUGGGCGUAAAGCGCGCGCAGGUGGUUUCUUAAGUCUGAUGUGAAAGCCCACGGCUCAACCGUGGAGGGUCAUUGGAAACUGGGAGACUUGAGUGCAGAAGAGGAAAGUGGAAUUCCAUGUGUAGCGGUGAAAUGCGUAGAGAUAUGGAGGAACACCAGUGGCGAAGGCGACUUUCUGGUCUGUAACUGACACUGAGG
Molecule: ribosomal RNA, 710 nt
Filed under: Bacillus thuringiensis
Lineage: Bacteria; Bacillati; Bacillota; Bacilli; Caryophanales; Bacillaceae
Description: bacterial SSU rRNA
Rfam family: Bacterial small subunit ribosomal RNA
Source: RNAcentral